UUAAAUCAUUAAAUUUAGGAGAUUUGGCGGUAUUUUAUGAAAUUAGAGGAACCUGUAUAUUAAUUGAUAUUCCACGAUAAGAAAAACUUAAAAAUUUAUGUAUUGCUGUUUAAAGAUUAUUAUUAAUUAAAUUUUCGAGUUUUUAAUUUAAUUUAAUUCAAGUCAAAAUAUAGUUUAUUUAAGAUAUGGGUUACAAUUUUAUUUUGAAAUUGGAUUUAAUAGUAA
Molecule: ribosomal RNA, 225 nt
Filed under: Charterginus fulvus
Lineage: Eukaryota; Metazoa; Arthropoda; Insecta; Hymenoptera; Vespidae
Description: partial small subunit ribosomal RNA
Source: RNAcentral